RNAcentral lists this ribosomal RNA (492 nucleotides) under uncultured Novosphingobium sp. Its description in RNAcentral is "bacterial SSU rRNA". It matches the Rfam family "Bacterial small subunit ribosomal RNA", at positions 92 to 619 of the family's 1533-position model. Lineage: Bacteria; Pseudomonadati; Pseudomonadota; Alphaproteobacteria; Sphingomonadales; Sphingomonadaceae. The record is from RNAcentral.
CUAGUGGCGCACGGGUGCGUAACGCGUGGGAAUCUGCCUUUGGGUUCGGAAUAACAGUGAGAAAUUACUGCUAAUACCGGAUGAUGUCUUCGGACCAAAGAUUUAUCGCCCAAAGAUGAGCCCGCGUAAGAUUAGCUAGUUGGUGAGGUAAAGGCUCACCAAGGCGACGAUCUUUAGCUGGUCUGAGAGGAUGAUCAGCCACACUGGGACUGAGACACGGCCCAGACUCCUACGGGAGGCAGCAGUGGGGAAUAUUGGACAAUGGGCGAAAGCCUGAUCCAGCAAUGCCGCGUGAGUGAUGAAGGCCUUAGGGUUGUAAAGCUCUUUUACCAGGGAUGAUAAUGACAGUACCUGGAGAAUAAGCUCCGGCUAACUCCGUGCCAGCAGCCGCGGUAAUACGGAGGGAGCUAGCGUUGUUCGGAAUUACUGGGCGUAAAGCGUACGUAGGCGGUUAUUCAAGUCAGAGGUGAAAGCCCGGGGCUCAACCCCGGA